Molecule: unclassified non-coding RNA, 200 nt
Filed under: soil metagenome
Description: partial contains internal transcribed spacer 2 and large subunit ribosomal RNA
Source: RNAcentral
GUCCGAGCGUCAUUUCAACCCUCAAGCACAGCUUGGUCUUGGGCUUCGCUGCUAACCCAGCGGGUCUUAAAAUCAGUGGCGGUGCGUCGGGCCCUGAGCGUAGUACACUCCCUCGCUAUAGGGUCCCGCGGGCGCUGGCCAUCAACCCCCAAUUUUCUAUGGUUGACCUCGGAUCAGGUAGGGAUACCCGCUGAACUUAA